This 400-nucleotide ribosomal RNA is filed under the name uncultured bacterium. RNAcentral describes it as "bacterial SSU rRNA". It matches the Rfam family "Bacterial small subunit ribosomal RNA", at positions 355 to 746 of the family's 1533-position model. The record is from RNAcentral.
UGAGGAAUAUUGCGCAAUGGAGGAAACUCUGACGCAGCAACGCCGCGUGGGUGAAGAAGGCUUUCGGGUUGUAAAGCCCUGUCAGGCGGGAAGAAACUUCCGCAGGUGAAUAGUCUGUGGAACUGACGGUACCGCCAAAGGAAGCACCGGCUAACUCCGUGCCAGCAGCCGCGGUAAGACGGAGGGUGCAAGCGUUGUUCGGAAUUACUGGGCGUAAAGCGCGUGUAGGCGGUCCGAUAAGUCGAGUGUGAAAGCCCGAGGCCCAACCUCGGAAGUGCAUUCGAAACUGUCGGGCUUGAGUACGGGAGAGGGAAGUGGAAUUCCUGGUGUAGAGGUGAAAUUCGUAGAUAUCAGGAGGAACACCGGUGGCGAAGGCGGCUUCCUGGACCGAUACUGACGC